This is a small nucleolar RNA of Grammomys surdaster, 131 nucleotides long. RefSeq annotates it as small nucleolar RNA SNORA17. The record is from RefSeq and is a predicted model, not a curated record. The transcript has a single exon. NCBI's taxonomy places the organism in Eukaryota, Metazoa, Chordata, Mammalia, Rodentia, Muridae.
CUUUCCCCUAGAGCCAUCUGUGUGGCUAUUGUGUCACAUGUACUGAUCAGUAUGUGACAGAUAGGAGAGAGGCUAUGCCUAGGCACAGUGUUCUAAUCUAUGAACAUUGGAAUGAUUAGUAGCCUAACAUU